Molecule: ribosomal RNA, 253 nt
Filed under: uncultured bacterium
Lineage: Bacteria
Description: partial 16S ribosomal RNA
Rfam family: Bacterial small subunit ribosomal RNA
Source: RNAcentral
UACGAAGGGUGCUAGCGUUGUUCGGAAUUACUGGGCGUAAAGGGCGCGUAGGCGGAUAUGUAAGUUAGGUGUGAAAUCCCUGGGCUCAACCCAGGAACUGCACUUAAUACUUCAAAUCUAGAGUGCGAAAGGGAGAGACGGAAUGGCGAGUGGAGCAGUGAAAUGCGUUGAUAUUCGUUGGAACACCGGUGGCGAAGGCGGUCUCUUGGUUCGUAACUGACGCUAAGGCGCGAAAGCGUGGGGAGCAAACAGG